RNAcentral lists this ribosomal RNA (484 nucleotides) under uncultured bacterium. RNAcentral's name for it is "partial 16S ribosomal RNA". It matches the Rfam family "Bacterial small subunit ribosomal RNA", at positions 30 to 507 of the family's 1533-position model. The record is from RNAcentral.
AUUGAACGCUGGCGGCAGGCCUAACACAUGCAAGUCGAGCGGAUGAAGGGAGCUUGCUCCUGGAUUCAGCGGCGGACGGGUGAGUAAUGCCUAGGAAUCUGCCUGGUAGUGGGGGAUAACGUCCGGAAACGGGCGCUAAUACCGCAUACGUCCUGAGGGAGAAAGUGGGGGAUCUUCGGACCUCACGCUAUCAGAUGAGCCUAGGUCGGAUUAGCUAGUUGGUGGGGUAAAGGCCUACCAAGGCGACGAUCCGUAACUGGUCUGAGAGGAUGAUCAGUCACACUUGAACCGAGACACGGUCCAGACUCCUACGGGAGGCAGCAGUGGGGAAUAUUGGACGAUGGGCGAAAUCCUGAUCCAGCCAGGCCGCGUGAUAGAAGAAGGUCUUCGGAUUGUAAAGCACUGUAAGUUGGGAGGAAGGGCAGUAAGUUAAUACCUUGCUGUUUUGACGUUACCAACAGAAUAAGCACCGGCUAACUUCGUG